GAUUUUUGUCAUUAUGUCAAAGGUUCUUCGUUCGAGUGACUGUUUGGACGAAACUAAUAUUAUUUAUUGUGGUUUUGAGUUUGUGAAGAUUAUGAGUUUCUGCCCUGAAUCUCCUGAUAUUUAAAAAAAAAAAUGUUUUGAAUGACCUAUAUUCCCAGCAAGAUUUGUUUUCCCCGAAAAGAAUCUAUUUCAGCACUUAAGAGCAUGAUUAUCGGGGUUUGUUAAAUGGGUUUCUUAAAUUAAUUUUGAUUAAAAAAAAAAAAAAUUUACUUUUUUAUCGAGGAAACGUCGCUUAAUUAAAAGAAGUAACAAACAUCGCUUAUGGGACACGCGUCAUACAUGGAAGUCUCCUCCUCUCUCUCGUCUCUAUCUCUCUCCUUCGUGAAGUCCAUAAUUUCUUCCCGGCGCCAAAGAGAUUGAGCUUCUACACGAUGACCUCGAAGCUUAUCAGCCGCGCUCGUCUCGAAUCUCCAGGACGAGCCUCCGUCUACUUCUGACUCCUGUCGAUAUUACGGCCAAGGAGGAGGUAGAGGAGAUUGAUGUUACAAACGGCGAUGGGAUUGAUUCGAUUGGACUCGUCUCUCUCGUUGAGGCUUUGGUUAACGAAGGGCUCUACAACGUCCACGUCUGUGCUCCUCAGACCUUCGGAGAAUAUGAGCAACGUCACCGCAGACCUCCCUUUCACCGCUGUCGCACUCCCUGGUUCUACAGCGAAUGAGAGUUCGCCUCCGACUGAUCGUCCCGUCCGCGUCUACGCCGAUGGGAUCUACGAUCUUUUCCACUUCGGUCACGCCUGAUCUCUCGAACAGGCCAAGAAAUCGUUAGUAACCUCUUUAUCUCCACUAGAUAGCUUCUGACUAAUUCUGCAUAUCCCUGAUUCGAUUUUGUUUUUGUCUUUGUUUUGGCGAUUGAUCUGUGAUCUCGAUGAUAAUUUGAUCUGUUUUGAUUAAUAUUACUGCCAAAUUUUGUGAUGCGCAAAGCAUUGUGGUGUGUGAUUUUGAUAGGUCAGAGCUUCGUUUGUUGAGAUUUUGCAAUAGCUCUGAUGUGCUUCUGUGUUUGAUUUUGUAAUUUUGAGAAAUAUUUUUUGUGUUCUUUAUGGUUUUGCCAUUGCUUUUCCAAACACUUACCUUCUUGUGGAAUGUUGCAACGAUGAAACGACACAUAAGUACAAGGGAAGGACUGUGAUGACUGCUGAAGAACGAUAUGAAUCACUUCGGCAUCGCAAGGAUAACGGUGCUCUAAGAUGGUGCAUGGCGUCUGAUUACAAUGAGGUUGAAACCAAUCCGAUAAAUAUGGUAUAUUUGAAGAAGGCCUAACUAUUGUCUCAUGUUAAACCCAAAAACAGAUCCUUAUAAUGUUAAAUAUAUUCCACUCUUAAAAAAUCCAAUCGUAAAGGUGAGGUGGGGCAAGCCCAUGUAUAACAUCAGCCUCAAACAAGAAAGAGUUCAAGGUUUCGAAUAGGCCAACUUCUUCGCACCCAAUGUCUCAAAUAUAUAAAUGAUUUCAUCAAAGAUGUAGAAAUAUAUGAGUUUGUAAUCAUCAGAUUCUUUGCCUCAUAUUUUUUUCUCUUUUGGCACGAGGAAACCCUUUUUACGUUUCAAUUCUUCUUCUUAAAUUUUUUUAUUUAUUUUGUAGUUAAGUCACAGUUGACGGUUACAGAUUGUUUUUCACGCAAUGCUCUCGACUUUAGUCAAAAAGUUUACUUGAACAGUUGAACUACUGGGGUAUCUUAUCUUCAUAACUCACGCACCCUCUUCCCGUUUAAUGCCCACAUUAUUUUAUUAUUAAUAGAUCAUAUUACUAAGAGCAGGUCCAUUGGAGUCUUUUAGAGGGGGUUCUAAAAAAAAAUCAAAAAAAAUAAAUGAAAAAAUAGAAAAAACCAAAGGACCGGUGCUAAACAAAGGGGUUUUGGAACCACUAAAAACCUCAUACGUGCCCUCUCGGUAUUGGUCGUCUCUCUUUCUCGAUGGUUUUUUUUUUUUUGUCUCUGAGAAAUCUCGUCGUUGCUCUCCUUCUCCAAAUCCUUCCAUGAAAUCACUUUGAAGGUUCGAAUUCUUUGAGUUUUUGUAUUGGUUUAAAGCUUGUGAAUCUCGUUGGAAUUGAAAUUUGGUUUUGGUAAUGCGAUUUGAGAAUGAGAUUUGAGAUUAGCUUUGAUGAUGGGAACUAAAUCACAUCUCCGACAUGGCGAUCUUCAGGAAGUCCGUUGAAGGCUGCUGUUUUGAUUAACUACGACCCGACAGCACCUUCUCGUCUCUUAUCAACAAUGAGGGAGACAAUGGAGGAAACAAUGGCGGCUAGGUUCUGGUGCCUUUGCUUCCUGAGGAUGCCACACCUCCUUCAAUGCCUCCUUCCACCAAAUCAUUGCUAUGCGUGGUCUCGGUAUGUCGAUGAAUCAGAUAGAGAUCUGAUGAACGACUCUUUUUUCCAUCACUUAAGCAGAAAGAGGAGCAGCACUCAAGAGAGACUUGGCUGGUGAAACCAAAGCAACACGCCUCCGUUCUCCACUUUAGAGUACUUCUUGUACACAACACGUAGCCUGCUCUCUCCACACCUAGAGUGAUGUAAAGCUAGGAGCUUUGAGCAUUCCCUAUUAACACACAACAAAGAACAAAACUUAUCAGUUUUUGCAAUUAAGAAACAAGAACAGAAACAGAUAUUUGCAAGUCUUCUCUGUUCUUACAUAAUCUCAGACUGCAUAUCCUGUGUGAAACUUCAAGGUCUCUGUCCAAGCUGGUGACUUGUUCAGUGAGCAUCUCGCUGUGUAGACAGCUGAAGCAGCAAGCAUGGAGGGACAGAACUUCAAGGUAAUGUUCUUCUUUGCAUUAGUUGGCAAUAUGACUUAUGUAGGAAGGUAAAGAUCGAUUAUCUUUCCUUGUUUUGUGUCUAAAGAUUCUCUAGUAGCUUUCUUGAAUUUUUUUAUGAAAUACAAUAAUUUUAACU
Brassica napus (rape) is the source of this 2940-nucleotide long non-coding RNA. RefSeq lists it as uncharacterized. The record is from RefSeq and is a predicted model, not a curated record. The transcript has 5 exons. Lineage: Eukaryota; Viridiplantae; Streptophyta; Magnoliopsida; Brassicales; Brassicaceae.